RNAcentral lists this ribosomal RNA (306 nucleotides) under uncultured bacterium. Its description in RNAcentral is "bacterial SSU rRNA". It matches the Rfam family "Bacterial small subunit ribosomal RNA", at positions 30 to 334 of the family's 1533-position model. The record is from RNAcentral.
AUUGAACGCUAGCGGCAUGCUUAACACAUGCAAGUCGAACGGUAACAGCAGAGCUUGCUCUGGCUGACGAGUGGCGGACGGGUGAGUAAUGCUUAGGAAUCUGCCCAGUAGCGGGGGACAACGUGUGGAAACGCACGCUAAUACCGCAUACGCCCUACGGGGGAAAGCAGGGGAUCUUCGGACCUUGCACUAUUGGAUGAGCCUAAGUCAGAUUAGCUUGUUGGUGGGGUAAAAGCCUACCAAGGCGACGAUCUGUAGCUGGUCUGAGAGGACGAUCAGCCACACUGGAACUGAGACACGGUCCAG